UUAUAACUUAGUGUAUAAGGCACAUUAGAUUUUGAGGCUGAAAGGGAUAAUAUUAUUUAUUAGUUAUAAU
Molecule: transfer RNA, 70 nt
Filed under: Yuukianura szeptyckii
Lineage: Eukaryota; Metazoa; Arthropoda; Collembola; Poduromorpha; Neanuridae
Description: tRNA-Gln
Source: RNAcentral